AACUGCGUCAACGCUGCCGCCGUGGCCGGACACUCCACCCUGUCCUUCAAUGGUACCACCUGCCUCACCUACAACACAACUGUGCCGAGUUUCUCAUGCGCUAACCAGCAGGCAGCAGCGGCAAACCCCGUAGUCAUCUACCAGGCCAACCCACCUCUGGUCCAGCCCAAUUUCGGUUCAUUCAAAGUACUGACAGUGGCAGCAACCUUUGAUGUGAACAACAACUUCGACGUGACGUGGACAGCAGAAGACGGCGGUUGUUCCUACCCCGGUUUUGUCAUCACCGUCGCCGGUCUGGUGAAGUACGUCGAAACGCUUACGUUCCAUGCGAAUUUCGUCGUUGGUGCCGGAAGAAACUUCGCACGCAACGGAGGAAACGUCGCGGUUGCCUACGGGUUGCCAACUGGAGAGACUUUCGGCCAAAGUUCGAGUACCACUGCGGUGGAAGCCACUACCACAACCACUUCGACAACUACCACGUCGACAACUACCGACUCUGCGACAGGCAUUGGCACUGACAUUGGCAUUGUGACCGCACCGGGUAGGUUCGAUACAGUCGCUUGAAAGACGAAAACUCCAUCGACAUCCUGUGCGACGCUGACGAAUUUUCCAGUCUGGGUCGUCGGCAUCUAACCUCUUAAGAUGGCCCGGCCCAUUCAAGUCUUUAUAAUCACCUGAUAAACUAAUAACUCUAACCAAUCUAUCGUUGAAAUACCUUUGAUUUACUGUUAUUUCGUCAACGUCAUUUGCGCUGGAGGGGUCGACCCUAACAAAAUUUAGAGUCGCCCCAGCUUCUGGUAUCCCAAAUCAGAAGCUGCCGCGUCUGUAAAUUUUCACUGGGGAGAACCUCACCUUGAUGCGAAUCUUACCUUGAUGAGAAAUUAUAUAUCAGAUAAUUAAUAUGUAAUUUUGGAUUUUCAGUAACUCUAUAUAAAUAUGUUUGUUUAAUCAGUAAAUUGAUAAAGGUUUGGA
Molecule: long non-coding RNA, 972 nt
Organism: Hyalella azteca
Lineage: Eukaryota; Metazoa; Arthropoda; Malacostraca; Amphipoda; Hyalellidae
Exons: 4
Source: RefSeq, a predicted model, not a curated record